UGGAGGGCAAGUCUGGUGCCAGCAGCCGCGGUAAUUCCAGCUCCAAUAGCGUAUAUUAAAAUUGUUGCAGUUAAAAAGCUCGUAGUUGAAUUUCUGCUGCAUUACAUAUCUCUUGUUUGAGUUUGUUUUUGUGGCUUAUUUCGGUUUGAUUUUUUCUUUCCGGAUGAUUACUUUGAGAAAAUUAGAGUGCUCAAAGCAGGCUUUUGCCUUGAAUAGUUUAGCAUGGAAUAAUAAAGUAGGACUUUGGUUCUAUUUUGUUGGUUUUAGGUACCAAAGUAAUGGUUAAUAGGAACAGUUGGGGGCAUUCGUAUUUAACUGUCAGAGGUGAAAUUCUUAGAUUUGUUAAAGACGAACUACUGCGAAAGCAUUUGCCAAGGAUGUUUUCAUUAAUCAAGAACGAAAGUUAGGGGAUCGAAGACGAUCAGAUACCGUCGUAGUCCUAACCAUAAACUA
RNAcentral lists this ribosomal RNA (453 nucleotides) under Theileria orientalis. RNAcentral describes it as "SSU rRNA". It matches the Rfam family "Eukaryotic small subunit ribosomal RNA", at positions 549 to 1039 of the family's 1831-position model. The record is from RNAcentral. Lineage: Eukaryota; Apicomplexa; Aconoidasida; Piroplasmida; Theileriidae.